This 513-nucleotide ribosomal RNA is filed under the name uncultured bacterium. RNAcentral describes it as "bacterial SSU rRNA". It matches the Rfam family "Bacterial small subunit ribosomal RNA", at positions 29 to 523 of the family's 1533-position model. The record is from RNAcentral.
AGCGAACGUUAGCGGCGGGCCUAACACAUGCAAGUCGAGCGAGAAAGUGGCUUCGGCCAUCAGUAAAGCGGCGGACGGGUGAGUAACACGUAGGUAAUCUUCCCUUGAGCGGGGGACAACGUUUCGAAAGGAACGCUAAUACCGCAUACGUUUCCAGGGACCCUGGUCCCCGGAAGGAAAGCUAGGUCGCAAGAUCCGGCACUCGAGGAGGAGCCUGCGUCGCAUCAGCUAGUUGGUGGGGUAACGGCCUACCAAGGCGAAGACGCGUAGCUGGUCUGAGAGGAUGAUCAGCCACACUGGGACUGAGACACGGCCCAGACUCCUACGGGAGGCAGCAGUGGGGAAUAUUGGACAAUGGGCGCAAGCCUGAUCCAGCCACGCCGCGUGAGUGAUGAAGGCCUUCGGGUCGUAAAGCUCUGUGGGGAGGGACGAACCGCUGCUGGUUAAUACCCAGCAGCAUGACGGUACCUCCUUAGCAAGCACCGGCUAACUUCGUGCCAGCAGCCGCGGUAA